This 468-nucleotide ribosomal RNA is filed under the name uncultured bacterium. RNAcentral describes it as "partial 16S ribosomal RNA". It matches the Rfam family "Bacterial small subunit ribosomal RNA", at positions 28 to 507 of the family's 1533-position model. The record is from RNAcentral.
GACGAACGCUGGCGGCGUGCUUAACACAUGCAAGUCGAACGGAAAGGCCCUGCUUUUGUGGGGUGCUCGAGUGGCGAACGGGUGAGUAACACGUGAGUAACCUGCCCUUGACUUUGGGAUAACUUCAGGAAACUGGGGCUAAUACCGGAUAGGAGCUCCUGCUGCAUGGUGGGGGUUGGAAAGUUUCGGCGGUUGGGGAUGGACUCGCGGCUUAUCAGCUUGUUGGUGGGGUAGUGGCUUACCAAGGCUUUGACGGGUAGCCGGCCUGAGCGGGUGACCGGCCACAUUGGGACUGAGAUACGGCCCAGACUCCUACGGGAGGCAGCAGUGGGGAAUAUUGCACAAUGGGCGGAAGCCUGAUGCAGCAACGCCGCGUGCGGGAUGACGGCCUUCGGGUUGUAAACUGCUUUCGCCUGUGACGAAGCGUGAGUGACGGUAAUGGGUAAAGAAGCACCGGCUAACUACGUG